Molecule: long non-coding RNA, 1022 nt
Organism: Cucurbita moschata (crookneck pumpkin)
Lineage: Eukaryota; Viridiplantae; Streptophyta; Magnoliopsida; Cucurbitales; Cucurbitaceae
Exons: 5
Source: RefSeq, a predicted model, not a curated record
GCGCCGCCCUGUAGAGCAUUCCGCUUCCAAUUCACCGGCAGAGAUUUUUCUAGUCUAGGUCAUGACUCCGACUGCCGCAAACCAAAGCAAUGUUGAAGGCGAAGAAGAGUCUGAGGAAGGCGGUUGUGCCUCCUACUCUCGUCGGCAUUACUUCUCCCGGAAACCUCCAGCCACUUGUCUCACCCUCCAUUAACGCAUCUCUCCUUCCUUACCGGCUAUACAUCAACCCUAAGCUUUUUUUUUUUUUUUCCAUCUCUUUCAAUGUCUCUCAAGCUUUCUGACUCUAUAGGUUAGUCCGGAUCGUUCUUCGUGCUGGCUCCUCAUCGCUUCUGGUUCCCGCGUUUUUGAACUCCAGAUUUCCAUGGAACUAUAGAAUCAUCAGUCAUCGAGGGAAAUAAUAGCUUACUGAUCCUUGAACAGACGAAGAUUAUGGGACUGACCUUCUCAUCCAUCCACUCUGUUUACAUUUAUGUCCAGGGAGUUGACUAUGAGGUGUUCUAGGCAGAUGGUGUGAUUCAGUUAGCAUCUUCUUGGCAUAUGUUGCUAACGUCAACGACGACACAUCAAAUGGUUUCAUCAAUGGCCUUUCCCGACUACUUCCCUCUGCUGUCUUCUCUUAACGCAGUUUGCUUUAUACAUUGUUUGGUGAUUCUAGUACCCUUGCACAUGAGGUAACCUCUUACUCUACGUAUUAUUUAAGGAACUCAAUAGUAGUUACACUGAUGAGGUUGUACUUUGCUCUCACCCACCCCUUUUUGAAUAAUAGUAAACACCGAUGAGGUUGUACUUUGUUCUCGCCCACCCCACCAAUGAGGUUGUACUUUGUUCUCAUCCACCCCUUUUUGAGUAAUAGUAAUUGUUAGGAAUCACGAACCCUCCACAAUGAUAUGAUAUUGUCCACUUUGCGCGUAAAACUCUCAUGUUUUUUCUUUUGGUUUUCUCAAAAGGCAUGUAUUCCUUACCUAUGAACUCAUGAUCAUCUCUUUAAUUAUCCGAUGUGAGACUCCCUACCAACCAUCCUC